RNAcentral lists this ribosomal RNA (640 nucleotides) under uncultured Mycobacterium sp. Its description in RNAcentral is "bacterial SSU rRNA". It matches the Rfam family "Bacterial small subunit ribosomal RNA", at positions 235 to 885 of the family's 1533-position model. Lineage: Bacteria; Bacillati; Actinomycetota; Actinomycetes; Mycobacteriales; Mycobacteriaceae. The record is from RNAcentral.
GGCCUAUCAGCUUGUUGGUGGGGUAAUGGCCUACCAAGGCGACGACGGGUAGCCGGCCUGAGAGGGUGACCGGCCACACUGGGACUGAGGAUACGGCCCAGACUCCUACGGGAGGCAGCAGUGGGGAAUAUUGCACAAUGGGCGCAAGCCUGAUGCAGCGACGCCGCGUGAGGGAUGACGGCCUUCGGGUUGUAAACCUCUUUCAAUAGGGACGAAGCGUGAGUGACGGUACCUAUAGAAGAAGCACCGGCCAACUACGUGCCAGCAGCCGCGGUAAUACGUAGGGUGCGAGCGUUGUCCGGAAUUACUGGGCGUAAAGAGCUCGUAGGUGGUUUGUCGCGUUGUCCGUGAAAACUCACAGCUUAACUGUGGGCGUGCGGGCGAUACGGGCAGACUAGAGUACUGCAGGGGAGACUGGAAUUCCUGGUGUAGCGGUGGAAUGCGCAGAUAUCAGGAGGAACACCGGUGGCGAAGGCGGGUCCCUGGGCAGUAACUGACGCUGAGGAGCGAAAGCGUGGGGAGCGAACAGGAUUAGAUACCCUGGUAGUCCACGUCGUAAACGGUGGGUACUAGGUGUGGGUUCCUUCCUUGGGAUCCGUGCCGUAGCUAACGCAUUAAGUACCCCGCCUGGGGAGUACGG